Molecule: ribosomal RNA, 232 nt
Filed under: uncultured bacterium
Lineage: Bacteria
Description: partial 16S ribosomal RNA
Rfam family: Bacterial small subunit ribosomal RNA
Source: RNAcentral
UCGGAAUUACUGGGCGUAAAGGGUGCGUAGGUGGGCGUUUAAGUCCGUUGUGAAAUCCCUGGGCUCAACCUGGGAAUGGCAGUGGAUACUGGACGGCUAGAAUGCGGUAGAGGGUAGUGGAAUUCCCGGUGUAGCAGUGAAAUGCGUAGAUAUCAAGUGGAACACCAGUGGCGAAGGCGAGUCUCUGGACAUUUCCUGACGCUGAGGCACGAAAGCCAGGGGAGCAAACGGG